Sciurus carolinensis (gray squirrel) is the source of this 2767-nucleotide long non-coding RNA. RefSeq lists it as uncharacterized. The transcript is spliced from 2 exons. The record is from RefSeq and is a predicted model, not a curated record. Lineage: Eukaryota; Metazoa; Chordata; Mammalia; Rodentia; Sciuridae.
UCCAAGGGGACCUCAUGGAUGUGGAGAAAGAUAAUCAUCUUCCCAGGAAGAAGCAGGAGUUUGGAACUGGCGGUUGAGAAUCUUUAGGAAUGUGGCCUCUACUUCAGAAGGGUCCAGGGAGGGCCUGUGUUGUCUGCAACUACCACAGACAUUUCCUGACCACAAAAUGGCUCCUUUUUGGUCCCAUUGGAGACUCAGGCUAUUGUGUGGAGGACGUGGAGGGCCCUAUGCCAGAUCGCACUCCCCCUAGAGGGCCUUGCUCCAGGACCAUCCCUGCCACCCCAUCCCUCCCUGACCUCUCACUCCUCUGAGAUUGGCAACGCUUGACAAGUGCACAGCCUGGCUGCUGAUGACAUACAAUCAUUGAGUCCCCAUCACGUCAUCCGUGCUCAUCUCACCCCCACUGCUGGACUAUACCCUCAUCCCAGAGAUGCAAGGCAUUUCCGUGUGCUCCUGCACAGUGAGUAAAGUGUCUUGGUAGCUCAAUACAGCAUCUUACAACUUGAGAAGGAGGAUACAGACCACACAUAGACUUCAGCUGUUCAGACAUCAAGUCAAGCUGCCCACUGGGGGCCCCACAUUAGCCCACAUGCACACAUCCAGGCUGCUGAGUAGCUCCAUCAGUGAGUCUGGAGUGGGAUCACUGGCUUGGGCUAGGAAGUGGAUGCCUGCACUGGGUGUGCACUAAGACUGCCCAGGAAGAACUCCCUGGCGGACUUUAGUGUACUACCCAGAGAUCAUUAGGAGGAGGCAACUCAUCAGUGCUGUCCUGUGUGCUCCAUGAAAAGAGAAGGGUCCACCUUUUAUCCACUGAAGUCCUGCCAUGUGCAUGGCAUGAGAUAAGAAGAAGGAGACGCAUGGACAAAGUUGGCAUUUUAGAGUCUGGGGGCACAGAGAUACUAUGGUCUCUGGGUUGUGCCAUAGCCCAUGAAUUCAGGCUUAUCUGAGAAAUUCCUCCAAGCAUAGAACACUUCAUGUCUGAUAGUCCAAGUGAAGAUGCUGGGGUUCUCCUGAUUGGCCCAAAUGGUAAGCUGUAGCAGCAGGUGACCAGAGUUUUGUUUGAACCUGGCGUGACAGGAAGAACCCACCUUCCUGCAAGGCAGAGAGUUCUAAUUCCUUCACAUCCAACAAUUGGUGUUUUCUGUCUUCUCCACAUUGGCCUUCAGAGUCCCAUGAAGAGAGACCUUCCACUGAGACUGUAUCGCAGCCUCCCCCUUUCCUUCAGAGAUUCCACCACUCCACAGCAAACAUGCGGUGUUAAUCAAUUUUCCUUCACUGUGACAAAAUACCUGAGAAAAAAAGAGGAAAAGCUCAUUUUGACUCACAGUUUCCCAAGUUUUAGUCCCAAGCUCCAUUGCUUUGGGCCUGAGGUGAGGCAGAACAUCAUGGUAGAAGGGCAUGGUAGAGGAAAGCUGAUCAAUCAUAUCAUGGCAAUCAGAAAGGAGAGAGUGAGACAGACAGACAUACCGGGGACAAGACAUACUCUUCCAGGGGACACCCCCAGUGACCUUCCCCCAACUGGACCCUGCCUCCUAAAGUUUCUACCACCCCCCAGUAAUGCCAUCAGCUAUGAACCCAUCAAAGGAUUAAUCCACUGGUAAGAUCAGAGUCCUCGUGAUUCAGUCAGUUCCCAAGAGCCCCACUGAUGAACACUGCUGCAUUGUGGACUAAGCCUUCAACCUGUAGCUUUUGGGGAACUUUCCAGAUCCAAACCAUAACACACGUCCUUUCAUUCCCUCAACCUGGGCCUACGACGUUUCCUGCAGGGGCUCCUACUGUGAAGCAUCAGACAUGUUCCCAUCUCCACCAUCUGUGUGAAGCUUCCCUCCAGCCCACCUUACCUGUGGGGUAUAUCCAGACUGCUCUGCCUCUGCAAGGCUCUCCUCAUCAACCAAUCAUUUGUCCAGCAAGUAUUUAUUCCACACCUGCCUGUGCUGGGCAUGGUGGAGAUUCGUUGGUGAAUGAGACCAUUAGUCCUGCUUUCAUCAAGCUUAUAAUUAAGUAGGGAAGACAGACAUCAAUAUUAACAAAUGCUUAUGUAAUGGCAGUGGUGACAUGUGCUGCCACAGUGCAACAGCUCAUACCAGUUCCUUUCUCUGCACUUGUACACCUGCAAACAUCUGCUUGUCCUUCAAGCCUGAGCUCAUAUUCCCCCUCAUUCACAAUACCUUUCUGACCACCCACACACACAACAGGGUGCUCUUCUGUGUCCACAACUGUCCUUGGGCAUAACUGCUCUCCACAAAGACUAAAACCCAAGGAUAGAGACCAGAUCACCCUCACUUUGGAACCCCUUGCCUGGCACAGAGCCCAGUUCAGUGGAGGUGCUCAGGAAAUGAUUGAAAGUUCCUGCCAACAUUGAUCCAACCUGUGCAUGAACAUUUUCAGGGUCCAGAAUUCAUGCUUUCUUCUCUUUCUUAGAUAGCCUUUUGUUUCUUUUUCUCAUUCUAAAAGGUAUUUGGGUUAGGAGAUGACAAUGUGAAUACACUUAAUACUGAACUUUAUACUUUAAAAUGGUUAAGAUGGGACUGGGGCUGUAGCUCAGUGGUGGAGCACUUGCCUAGUGUGUGUGAGGCACUGGGUUCAAACCUUAGCACCACAUAAAACAAAGAAAGUAAGGCAUUCUGUCCAUCUACAACUAUAGAAAAAUUAAAAAUAAAUAAAUAAAAUGGUUAAGAGUGCAAAUUUUGUGUUAUAUGCAUUUUACCACAAUUUUUUUGAAAUGCAAAGAAUGAGUACCAAAAAAAAAAAAAGGAGGGGGGGUUCU